Molecule: long non-coding RNA, 3531 nt
Organism: Triticum aestivum (bread wheat)
Lineage: Eukaryota; Viridiplantae; Streptophyta; Magnoliopsida; Poales; Poaceae
Exons: 3
Source: RefSeq, a predicted model, not a curated record
AGUAAUCCAAUGCCAAGGAGGACAACCGUCAUACGAUCCAGCUACAACCGCUGAUCGGCCUCGUCCCAGCCGCCGCCAAAAGAGGCUCUUCUACAUAGCUGAGGUGAAGAUGCAACCGGCACAGUCACCCUGCCGGCGCGCCCCAUGCCGAGGAGUGGCGCGUCAGGUCGUACCCGCGCUAGGUCGAUGCCAACACCAUGCGCUUCGUCUGUAACAUCACGGUGCGGUCCACGACGACGCUCCCCGGUGGUGAUGAGGAGUGCGCGGUGUUGCAUGAGGUGUCGGCGCUGCUCUUCUCGGUACAGCGGGCAGGUGCAGUUCCUCGUCUCUGACAUGUAGAUGUGGUUGGAUUGGCAAGUUCCUCCCGGUCUUCAAGAGCCUCUCCAACUACGAGCUCAUGGACCUCGCCGUCGACAACCGCACACGCUGCUUCCGGCACCUCCAGGUGGGCCUCACCUGCCACGCCGAGUUCAGCAUCGACCCGCUCCGCGUGGCACCGUUCGCGAAGCUGGCCAACACGUGCAACGCGAAGCUGGCCAACACGUGCAACGCGAUGCUGGGCGUGCGUGGCGCCGGGCUAACCAACAUGGUGUUCCCGUGCACGAGAGGAUCCAAUGCCCCUCCGCACUACCCCACGUGAUCCGACGCAACGAGGACGACAUCCUAAGAUCCAGUCGUGGUUGUGCGGAAUCUCGGACGAAUCCAUCCGGCCUCAUCCUAGCCGCCGCCGGCAGAGGCAAUUUUUCAUAGACCAAGGAGUACUUGUUUACACCAAGAUUUUUCUUCUCGGCAAAGUUUGCUUCUUGCACUACCGAAGAAAGAUGAUGCAUGGUGUAGCAAUUGGAUGAUGUGCUCAUGAUUGUUCUUUCUUGGACAGAAUAAGGAAUUCAGUUGUAGGGUGCUCAAAGUAAUGAGCUUGCUGCUGCUUCAAGGCUGGAAGCCACAUUCAACUUCUACCAUACUACCAGUCUUGAUGUAACUAAGCUUUUCCACAUUGACCCUGAAGCCAAGCGCACCUUUGUAGUCUUGCUGAAGAAAGAGGAGGAGAAAUUGGACUUAUAAGGUAUUUUCAUCACUAACUUGCUUCACUUCGAGUAGCUGCAUUUUCCUUCCAUGUAUGUUAGAUGAUUUGGCCUAUGAAUUCGAUAUAAAUGUAUGAUGCAUUGUGCUGACGGCGAGUUCAGAGCAAAAAAGGAGGGGCGACAAAUGCAACAGCGAUUUGGCCUACCAUUUGCACAUAUGUCACAAUUUUUUAAAAGGAAUGCAGAAUCUUUAUCCAUAUAUAGAUCGGCUUUCAGUUAUAGGAAAAAGGAGGGGCGGCGACUGCAACAACGAUAGGACGGCAGCCAGUAUGCCUGAGCCAACACGCCACUGUUCUUUCUUUACUGGCACUGUAACAAUCAAAUUUCAUUAUGUCCGGAGUGCAUAAUCAAGUGUCUUAUUUUCUUUUCUGUGCCUUCUUUUUUAUGUAUGGGUAUGGGUUAGUGUUUUAGGUGACUGGUUACAAUGAAAAUCUUUAUGUGAAUGGUGAGGAGCAUGCAAAUUGGGACAACUUGCUUUCUGUGAGCAACCAUCUGAAUGCUGAAAGGUCAUACAUGGGUGUGAAUGGAUCGGAUACAUCACAUACAUCAGGUAAACAACAUGUACCUCUUUGAUUUCACAUGUGCGCACAUGCUAGACACUGUUGUGCCAUUUUAAAAUAUAUGUUUCUUCAUAACCUUGUUUUAGGUUGUGUGUUUUAGGUAAUUCUUAUUUGGGUAACAUGUAGGGGCAGCUGCUAGUAUCAUGUAUUUUAAUUUUGAGUCCUCCUAAAGGGGUUGUUUGAAGAAUUUAUUCUUACAAUAAAUUUGGCAUAAUAGUUGGAUUCUUUUGAUUUGACAAAAAAAAUAACUGAUCUUGCAAUGUAAUUGACUGAACUUGCCAUUUAUGGAUUUUUCCUAUAAGCUAAUAAGUUUGUUUAUGUAAAGAAACUGCAUUGGAGUAGAUUGUGAGUAUUUCUUCACCCCCCCUGGGGCCUCUAGGGCAACAACUUGUGCGAAUGACACCAGUCCUCGCGACGGUGCCAUUAACCCUCUGAACGCUCUAUUGCAGUUGUCUCUAUAGCUUGAUGUCACGGAUUGGAGGACGCCAAAGUACUGUAUAUUUUGCUUGAUGAAUGAUCUAGAUUGAUUGUUUUUAUUGCUAUAGGAACACGGAAUUGAUACAUGUAGUAAUAUGACAAAGAUGUAUCAUCACAAUAUUGAUCUGGAUACCGCUUCUGCAUUAAACUGAUUUUCACAUAUAUUCUACGAGCUAUGUUCCAUCUCAUAGGACUAAUUUGUUUUGUGCCAAAUCAUGCAAUGACAAUGCAUUAGAACCAUAUACUCUCUUUUAGGGCAUUCCCCUGCACAUAAUCUCUCUAUGCAGUUAGGCAACUGAUAUUGCCAUUAUUCUGGUACAUCUGCACUAUUGGCAUAGAAGAACAUGUUCAUUGGUUUGAAUUGAUUACCCUCAUGGCUAGUAUUAUAUAUUCUAAGUAUUCAGUUGCCUGCAAAAUAAUUAUGUAACAGAUAUCUAUUCCAGGUUGUCGUAUAAUUUACACCUAAAUUGGGAACAGAAAAUAGUUUCUUCACUUAUUUCAAGUAUUAAAUUCUUUUAGACUUUUCUUAGUUUUGGCUUUAAUCUUCAUGCCAUAUUAUUUACUGAACCGGUGAUAAAUUAUUAGCAUGACAACAUGAUCUCUAUUUAAACUAGACCAAGAAUUUUUCGUAACUCAAUUUGUUGUUGUUUUCUCUUUGGAGGACUUUGUAUCUAAUUGUGCCCCUUUUGUUCUAUUAUGACAACCCAUCUAUCAUUUGCUGCUGAUUCCUGCCUUGUUUACUUACAAGUACUCGUUUUUGUGUCAUGUAUGGUAUGAGGACAACUAUGCAAAAUUGCUAAUAGGAUUGAUGAGGCAUGUUAUCUUUUGUAUUUUUCUUAUGAACAUACCUACUGAAGCAUCUUAAUCCCUCCUCCUUUUAGUUUUUAGUUGUUAUCAUUCAGUGUCUAUAGUUUUGCAUAACUAAUAGACUUGCAAAUCGACCUAUUAUGUACGUGAUGUUGGCAGUAGAGCAAUAAGUUUGCUUCUGUGCAAGUAAAACAUUAUAGUUCAUGUGUUGUCUUCGCCUUACAUUCAUGUGCCAUGGUUGGCAUUGGUUUCAAACAUGUAGAUUUUCAAAUUACUUCCUCUUCAUAUAUGAUGUCCAUACCAGAUAACCAUAGGCACCUUCGACCGUGGCCCCAAGCGCGCCCACUGCAUUCAGGCUUUCGGUAGUAUCAUUGUACAACAUAUAUGUAGCUAAAGUAUGAGGCAAGCCUGGGCCCUGGCCCAAUGUUGCCUCCACCCCUGGUUCCAUUGUCAAUUAUGGGGACAUGAUGAUAACCUGGUGUUGAUCUCUCUCAGAGAUGCAACAACAACAAAAAGAAAGCCUUUAAUCUUUUGGGUUUCAUCUCCAUAAGAGUGGAUGGAUUUUUACGUUGGCUCGUCAAGCCUAUCACAACUCUCCUCCUUUA